Molecule: long non-coding RNA, 566 nt
Organism: Lytechinus pictus (painted urchin)
Lineage: Eukaryota; Metazoa; Echinodermata; Echinoidea; Temnopleuroida; Toxopneustidae
Exons: 2
Source: RefSeq, a predicted model, not a curated record
GUGAGAGGCAGAGGGUGCUGAUUGAGCGAUCAAAGUGCUAAAUGAGCAUCAAAAUUCCCAAGUGAGCAACAUGACUGCAGAGUAAGCACCCAAAAUGGCACCAGUCUCUCAAUUGACGCGUAAGUGAGCGCCUUAUUCCAGAGAAGUGCUGUACACCAGUCUGCUCCUUCAUUCAUGUUGUUGUGUUUGUAGCUAAUAAUGCGAAGGGAAUUGCUUGACUUGAGAUCACUCCUUAUCCACCAAGCAAGCACAGCAGUGGCAGAGCAUUGCUGCAGGAGUCAUGUCGUGGAUGUGAGUGCGACAACUACCACAGAAGAUUAGCCGACCUAAAGCCACUUCUCAAGCAGAAGGAAGGUAGCCCGAUUGUCGUGGUCGUGGGAGGUGGUAUCUUUGUUUCGGCAUGCAAAUCCACGAAAGGUUAAAGUCUUGAUGGCAUAAGCGGAAAAGUGCUAAAAGCCUGUGGUAAUCAACCGGCUGUGCCCUUUUGGCUUUGGUAAUUUUUUCAAUGGUAUCAAAGAGGUCCGUAAGUGACGCUGUUCUAGUUAUCCACUUAGUCCAGCAGCACA